This 253-nucleotide ribosomal RNA is filed under the name uncultured bacterium. Its description in RNAcentral is "partial 16S ribosomal RNA". It matches the Rfam family "Bacterial small subunit ribosomal RNA", at positions 524 to 776 of the family's 1533-position model. The record is from RNAcentral.
UACAGAGGGUGCAAGCGUUGUUCGGAAUUACUGGGCGUAAAGGGCGCGUAGGCGGCCUUCUAAGUCGAACGUGAAAUCCCCGGGCUCAACCCGGGAACUGCGUCCGAGACUGAAAGGCUCGAAUCCGGGAGAGGGAUGUGGAAUUCCAGGUGUAGCGGUGAAAUGCGUAGAUAUCUGGAGGAACAUCGGUGGCGAAGGCGGCAUCCUGGACCGGUAUUGACGCUGAGGCGCGAAAGCCAGGGGAGCAAACGGG